UACGUAGGGUGCAAGCGUUGUCCGGAAUUAUUGGGCGUAAAGAGCUCGUAGGCGGUUUGUCGCGUCUGCUGUGAAAACUCGGGGCUUAACCCCGGGCCUGCAGUGGGUACGGGCAGACUAGAGUGCAGAAGGGGCAACUGGAAUUCUCGGUGUAGCGGUGAAAUGCGUAGAUAUCGAGAGGAACACCUGCGGCGAAGGCGGGUUGCUGGGCUGACACUGACGCUGACAGCGCGAAAGCUAGGGGAGCGAACGGG
RNAcentral lists this ribosomal RNA (254 nucleotides) under uncultured bacterium. RNAcentral describes it as "partial 16S ribosomal RNA". It matches the Rfam family "Bacterial small subunit ribosomal RNA", at positions 524 to 776 of the family's 1533-position model. The record is from RNAcentral.